AUACGAGGGGCGCAAGCGUUGUCCGGAUUCAUUGGGUGUAAAGGGUGCGUAGGUGGAUCGAUAAGUUGGAAUUUAAAUCCCGCAGCUUAACUGCGGACCUGGUUUCAAAACUGUCGGUCUUGAGUUCGAAAGAGGGGAGUGGAAUUCCUAGUGUAGCGGUGGAAUGCGUAGAUAUUAGGAGGAACACCAGUGGCGAAGGCGGCUCUCUGGUUCGAUACUGACACUAAGGCACGAAAGCGUGGGGAGCAAACAGGAUUAGAAACCCUAGUAGUCC
Molecule: ribosomal RNA, 274 nt
Filed under: uncultured bacterium
Lineage: Bacteria
Description: partial 16S ribosomal RNA
Rfam family: Bacterial small subunit ribosomal RNA
Source: RNAcentral